RNAcentral lists this ribosomal RNA (467 nucleotides) under uncultured bacterium. RNAcentral describes it as "bacterial SSU rRNA". It matches the Rfam family "Bacterial small subunit ribosomal RNA", at positions 10 to 523 of the family's 1533-position model. The record is from RNAcentral.
AGUUUGAUCCUGGCUCAGAACGAACGCUGGCGGCAUGCCUAACACAUGCAAGUCGAACGAGAUCUUCGGAUCUAGUGGCGCACGGGUGCGUAACGCGUGGGAAUCUGCCCUUUGCUUCGGAAUAACAGUGAGAAAUUACUGCUAAUACCGGAUGAUGUCUUCGGACCAAAGAUUUAUCGGGGUAUGAUGAGCCCGCGUUGGAUUAGCUAGUUGGUGGGGUAAAGGCCUACCAAGGCGACGAUCCAUAGCUGGUCUGAGAGGAUGAUCAGCCACAUUGGGACUGAGACACGGCCCAAACUCCUACGGGAGGCAGCAGUGGGGAAUAUUGGACAAUGGGCGCAAGCCUGAUCCAGCCAUGCCGCGUGAGUGAUGAAGGCCUUAGGGUUGUAAAGCUCUUUCACCGGUGAAGAUAAUGACGGUAACCGGAGAAGAAGCCCCGGCUAACUUCGUGCCAGCAGCCGCGGUAA